CCUACGGGAGGCUGCAGUGGGGAAUAUUGGACAAUGGGGGCAACCCUGAUCCAGCCAUGCCGCGUGUGUGAAGAAGGCCCUCGGGUUGUAAAGCACUUUCAGUGAGGAAGAACGCCUGGUGGUUAAUACCCAUCAGGAAAGACAUCACUCACAGAAGAAGCACCGGCUAACUCCGUGCCAGCAGCCGCGGUAAUACGGGGGGUGCGAGCGUUAAUCGGAAUUACUGGGCGUAAAGCGCGCGUAGGUGGCUUGAUAAGCCGGUUGUGAAAGCCCCGGGCUCAACCUGGGAACGGCAUCCGGAACUGUCAAGCUAGAGUGCAGGAGAGGAAGGUAGAAUUCCCGGUGUAGCGGUGAAAUGCGUAGAGAUCGGGAGGAAUACCAGUGGCGAAGGCGGCCUUCUGGACUGACACUGACACUGAGGUGCGAAAGCGUGGGUAGCAAACAGGAUUAGAUACCCCUGUAGUC
RNAcentral lists this ribosomal RNA (465 nucleotides) under Vreelandella stevensii. Its description in RNAcentral is "partial 16S ribosomal RNA". It matches the Rfam family "Bacterial small subunit ribosomal RNA", at positions 338 to 795 of the family's 1533-position model. Lineage: Bacteria; Pseudomonadati; Pseudomonadota; Gammaproteobacteria; Oceanospirillales; Halomonadaceae. The record is from RNAcentral.